CCUACGGGAGGCAGCAGUGAGGAAUAUUGGUCAAUGGACGAGAGUCUGAACCAGCCAAGUAGCGUGAAGGAUGACUGCCCUAUGGGUUGUAAACUUCUUUUGUAUGGGAAUAAAAUGUUCCACGUGUGGGUUUUUGUAUGUACCCUAUGAAUAAGGAUCGGCUAACUCCGUGCCAGCAGCCGCGGUAAUACGGAGGAUCCGAGCGUUAUCCGGAUUUAUUGGGUUUAAAGGGAGCGUAGGUGGAUUGUUAAGUCAGUUGGGAAAGUUUGCGGCUCAACCGGAAAACGGCAGUUGAAACUGGCAGUCUUGAGUACAGUAGAGGUGGGCGGAAUUCGUGGUGUAGCGGUGAAAUGCUUAGAUAUCACGAAGAACUCCGAUUGCGAAGGCAGCACACUGGACUGCAACUGACACUGAGGCUCGAAAGUGUGGGGAUCAAACAGGAUUAGAUACCCGAGUAGUC
Molecule: ribosomal RNA, 460 nt
Filed under: uncultured bacterium
Lineage: Bacteria
Description: partial 16S ribosomal RNA
Rfam family: Bacterial small subunit ribosomal RNA
Source: RNAcentral